CUCCCGGUGGCCAAGCUGGUUAAGGCGCGAGACUGUAAUGAGUACCCUCAAAGUAAUCUUGAGAUCGGGCGUUCGACUCGCCCCCGGGAGA
RNAcentral lists this transfer RNA (91 nucleotides) under Lizanozyma spartinae. RNAcentral's name for it is "Scheffersomyces spartinae tRNA-Tyr". It matches the Rfam family "tRNA". From Rfam's summary of the family: Transfer RNA (tRNA) molecules are approximately 80 nucleotides in length. Their secondary structure includes four short double-helical elements and three loops (D, anti-codon, and T loops). Lineage: Eukaryota; Fungi; Ascomycota; Pichiomycetes; Serinales; Debaryomycetaceae. The record is from RNAcentral.